RNAcentral lists this unclassified non-coding RNA (636 nucleotides) under Hevea brasiliensis (rubber tree). The record is from RNAcentral. Lineage: Eukaryota; Viridiplantae; Streptophyta; Magnoliopsida; Malpighiales; Euphorbiaceae.
GUCGUCAUCGUCAACAGCAUCAUGCUCAUCAUCGUCUUCAUCUUGAUUACAGACAAUUUGCCUUGCAUGAUUCACUCCCCUUGGGUUUGGCCUACUCGGUUGAGUAUUGAGAUUGGCCGAAGCUUGGUGAGUUGCACAAAUUGAUUCUUGGUCUCUUCUUGCAGCCUCUUAGUGUACUUGCUAUCUAUCCAGGCGAUCCCUUAGUUGGACUUGAGUUGAUUCAAGUCCUGCCAAAAGAGCUAGAUCCAAGGCAUUGCUUUUGUCACCCCUACUGAAAUCUUCUUGCGCCAUGCCUAUGCUUUGACAUCUUAAAGUUACCAUUAAACAAAAUUGAAACAAUAAGAUAAUGAAUGAAAGAAUGCAAUCAGCCAAUAAAGAAAGUAAGCCAAAGUUGCGCCGAUUGUAACUCAAAACACCAAUAAUCCCACCCCAUGGCAUUGCUUUUGUCACCACUACUGAAAUCUUCUUGCGCCAUGCCUAUGCUUUGACAUCUUAAAGUUACCAUUAAACAAAAUUGAAACAAUAAGAUAAUGAAUGAAAGAAUGCAAUCAGCCAAUAAAGAAAGUAAGCCAAAGUUGCGCCGAUUGUAACUCAAAACACCAAUAAUCCCACCCCAUGGCAUUGCUUUUGUCACCA